This 1552-nucleotide long non-coding RNA is filed under the name Salmo salar (Atlantic salmon). RNAcentral's name for it is "lncRNA (ENSSSAG00000106870.1, ENSSSAG00000119150.1)". Lineage: Eukaryota; Metazoa; Chordata; Actinopteri; Salmoniformes; Salmonidae. The record is from RNAcentral.
GGGUAAUAAUAUGCUGAAGGCUAGCUGUAUUGGGUACAGAUGAUAAUAUGUAGGGGUAAUAAUAUGUUGAAGGCUAGCUGUAUUGGGUACAGAUGAUAAUAUGUAGGGGUAAUAAUAUGCUGAAGGCUAGCUGUAUUGGGUACAGAUGAUAAUAUGUAGGGGUAAUAAUAUGCUGAAGGCUAGCUGUAUUGGGUACAGAUGAUAAUAUGUAGGCUAUAAUAAUAUGCUGAAGGCUAGCUGUAUUGGGUACAGAUGAUAAUAUGUAGGGGUAAUAAUAUGCUGAAGGCUAGCUGUAUUGGGUACAGAUGAUAAUAUGUAGGCUAAUAUGCUGAAGGCUAGCUGUAUUGGGUACAGAUGAUAAUAUGUAGGCUAUAAUAAUAUGCUGAAGGCUAGCUGUAUUGGGUACAGAUGAUAAUAUGUAGGGGUAAUAAUAUGUUGAAGGCUAGCUGUAUUGGGUACAGAUGAUAAUAUGUAGGGGUAAUAAUAUGUUGAAGGCUAGCUGUAUUGGGUACAGAUGAUAAUAUGUAGGGGUAAUAAUAUGCUGAAGGCUAGCUGUAUUGGGUACAGAUGAUAAUAUGGGUAAUAAUAUGCUGAAGGCUAGCUGUAUUGGGUACAGAUGAUAAUAUGUAGGGGUAAUAAUAUGUUGAAGGCUAGCUGUAUUGGGUACAGAUGAUAAUAUGUAGGGGUAAUAAUAUGCUGAAGGCUAGCUGUAUUGGGUACAGAUGAUAAUAUGUAGGGGUAAUAAUAUGCUGAAGGCUAGCUGUAUUGGGUACAGAUGAUAAUAUGUAGGGGUAAUAAUAUACUGAAGGCUAGCUGUAUUGGGUGCAGAUGAUAAUAUGUAGGCUAUAAUAAUAUGUUGAAGGCUAGCUGUAUUGGGUACAGAUGAUAAUAUGUAGGGGUAAUAAUAUGUUGAAGGCUAGCUGUAUUGGGUACAGAUGAUAAUAUGUAGGGGUAAUAAUAUGCUGAAGGCUAGCUGUAUUGGGUACAGAUGAUAAUAUGUAGGCUAUAAUAAUAUGCUGAAGGCUAGCUGUAUUGGGUACAGAUGAUAAUAUGUAGGCUAAUAUGUUGAAGGCUAGCUGUAUUGGGUACAGAUGAUAAUAUGUAGGGGUAAUAAUAUGUUGAAGGCUAGCUGUAUUGGGUACAGAUGAUAAUAUGUAGGCUAAUAUGUUGAAGGCUAGCUGUAUUGGGUACAGAUGAUAAUAUGUAGGGGUAAUAAUAUGCUGAAGGCUAGCUGUAUUGGGUACAGAUGAUAAUAUGUAGGCUAUAAUAAUAUGCUGAAGGCUAGCUGUAUUGGGUACAGAUGAUAAUAUGUAGGCUAAUAUGCUGAAGGCUAGCUGUAUUGGGUACAGAUGAUAAUAUGUAGGGGUAAUAAUAUGCUGAAGGCUAGCUGUAUUGGGUACAGAUGAUAAUAUGUAGGCUAUAAUAAUAUGUUGAAGGCUAGCUGUAUUGGGUACAGAUGAUAAUAUGUAGGCUAAUAUACUGAAGGCUAGCUGUAUUGGGUACAGAUGGUAAUAUGUAGGGGUAAUAAUAUGUUGAAGGCUAGCUGUAUUGG